Molecule: unclassified non-coding RNA, 240 nt
Filed under: soil metagenome
Description: partial contains 5.8S ribosomal RNA, internal transcribed spacer 2, and large subunit ribosomal RNA
Source: RNAcentral
AACAAGGCGUACCUGCGGACCUGCGGAAGGAUCAUUAACACAAUGAACAGGCUGCGUCCUUUCAUGUGCCGGCCCGUGUGCGUACGCGUGCACACCGACUGUGAGAGGCGCGCGCCUGGUGGAUUUCACAUCCAUUACCCCUGCGAACUUUGUUAAAGUCUUUACACAGUGAACUCAAUCACCCUGAUUGUUUUUUUCCACUGAAAGACUGUGGGUUUGCGUGAGUGUGUGCUGUGUGUC